CAAUAGCGUAUAUUAAAGUUGUUGCGGUUAAAAAGCUCGUAGUUGGAUUUCUGGUGGGAGCGAUCGGUCUGGCGCUUAGCGCGAGUACUUGCAUCGUCUCCGGCCAUCCUUGGGGAGAGUCUGUCUGGCAUUAGGUUGUCGGGCAGAGGAUCCUCAUCGUUUACUGUGAAAAAAUUAGAGUGUUUAAAGCAGGCCUUUGCCUUGAAUACAUUAGCAUGGAAUAAUAAGAUAGGACCGUUGUCUAUUUUGUUGGUUUACAGAUGUCGGUAAUGAUUAAUAGGGAUAGUUGGGGGUAUUCGUAUUCAGUUGUCAGAGGUGAAAUUCUUGGAUUUUCGGAAGACGCACGACUGCGAAAGCAUUUACCAAGGAUGUUUUCAUUA
RNAcentral lists this ribosomal RNA (380 nucleotides) under uncultured eukaryote. RNAcentral's name for it is "partial 18S ribosomal RNA". It matches the Rfam family "Eukaryotic small subunit ribosomal RNA", at positions 592 to 975 of the family's 1831-position model. The record is from RNAcentral.